This 497-nucleotide ribosomal RNA is filed under the name uncultured bacterium. RNAcentral describes it as "partial 16S ribosomal RNA". It matches the Rfam family "Bacterial small subunit ribosomal RNA", at positions 28 to 507 of the family's 1533-position model. The record is from RNAcentral.
GAUGAACGCUGGCGGCGUGCCUAAUACAUGCAAGUCGAGCGAACGGACGAGAAGCUUGCUUCUCUGAUGUUAGCGGCGGACGGGUGAGUAACACGUGGAUAACCUACCUAUAAGACGGGGAUAACUUCGGGAAACCGGAGCUAAUACCGGAGAAUAUUUUGAACCGCAGGGUGCAAAGGUGAAAGACGGUCUUGCUGGCACUUAUAGAUGGAUCCGCGCUGCAUUAGCUGGUUGGUAAGGUAACGGCUUACCAAGGCAACGAUGCAUAGACGACCUGAGAGGGUGAUCGGCCACCCUGGAGCUUGGACACGGUCCAGACUCCUACGGGAGGCAGCAGUAGGGAAUCUUCCGCAAUGGUCGAGAGCCUGACGGAGCAGCGCCGCGUGAGUGAUGACGGUCUUCCGAUCGUAAAACUCUGUUAUUAGUGAAGAACAUAUGUGUAAGUAACUGUGCACAUCUUGACGGUACCGGAUCAGAAAGCCCCGGCUAACUACGUG